RNAcentral lists this ribosomal RNA (452 nucleotides) under uncultured bacterium. RNAcentral describes it as "bacterial SSU rRNA". It matches the Rfam family "Bacterial small subunit ribosomal RNA", at positions 917 to 1382 of the family's 1533-position model. The record is from RNAcentral.
GGACCCGCACAAGUAGUGGAGCGCCUGGUUUAAUUCGAUGCUAAACGAAGGACCUCACCAAGGCUUGAACUGUAGCUGCAAGCUGUAUGAAAAUACGGCCGCCUUCGAGGGUGCUAUAGAGGUGCUGCAUGGCUGUCAUCAGCUCGUGUCGUGAGAUGUUGGGUUAAGUCCCGCAACGAGCGCAACCCCUAUCGGAUGUUAAAAUUUCUUCCGAAACCGCCCUGCCUAAACGGGGAGGAAGGUGGGGACGAUGUCUAGUCAUCAUAGCCCUUAUGUCUUGGGCGACACAGACGCUACAAUGGACCGUACAAUGCGUUGCCAAACCGCGAGGUGGAGCUAAUCGCAACAAAACGGUUCUCAGUUGGGAUUGCAGUCUGAAACCUGACUGCAUGAACGCGGAAUUACUAGUAAUCGUGGAUCAGCAUGCCACGGUGAAUACGUUCUCGGGUCUU